GAAGGUAUGGCUCAGUGGUGGAGUGUAUGCUUAGCAUGCACCAGGUACUGGGUUCAAUCCCCAGUACCUCA
Molecule: transfer RNA, 71 nt
Filed under: Camelus bactrianus (Bactrian camel)
Lineage: Eukaryota; Metazoa; Chordata; Mammalia; Artiodactyla; Camelidae
Also listed under: 2 other names
Rfam family: tRNA
About the family: Transfer RNA (tRNA) molecules are approximately 80 nucleotides in length. Their secondary structure includes four short double-helical elements and three loops (D, anti-codon, and T loops). Further hydrogen bonds mediate the characteristic L-shaped molecular structure. tRNAs have two regions of fundamental functional importance: the anti-codon, which is responsible for specific mRNA codon recognition, and the 3' end, to which the tRNAs corresponding amino acid is attached (by aminoacyl-tRNA synthetases). tRNAs cope with the degeneracy of the genetic code in two manners: having more than one tRNA (with a specific anti-codon) for a particular amino acid; and 'wobble' base-pairing, i.e. permitting non-standard base-pairing at the 3rd anti-codon position.
Source: Rfam by way of RNAcentral